This is a non-coding RNA of Acanthosepion pharaonis, 111 nucleotides long. The record is from the annotation of a GenBank genome assembly. NCBI's taxonomy places the organism in Eukaryota, Metazoa, Mollusca, Cephalopoda, Sepiida, Sepiidae.
UUAUGGCCAUAUCACGUUGAAACACUGGUUCUCAUAUGAUUACCAAAGUUAAGCAAUGUUGAGUUUGGUCAGUACCUAGAUGGGGGACAGUUGGGAAUACCAGGUAAUGUA